GUGGGGAAUAUUGCACAAUGGGGGAAACCCUGAUGCAGCAACGCCGCGUGAGUGAUGACGGUCUUCGGAUUGUAAAACUCUGUCUUUGGGGACGAUAAUGACGGUACCCAAGGAGGAAGCCACGGCUAACUACGUGCCAGCAGCCGCGGUAAUACGUAGGUGGCAAGCGUUGUCCGGAUUUACUGGGCGUAAAGGGAGCGUAGGCGGAUUUUUAAGUGGGAUGUGAAAUACCUGAGCUCAACUCGGGUGCUGCAUUCCAAACUGGAUAUCUAGAGUGUCGGAGGGGAAAGCGGAAUUCCUAGUGUAGCGGUGAAAUGCGUAGAGAUUAGGAAGAACACCAGUGGCGAAGGCGGCUUACUGGACUGCAACUGACGUUGAGGCUCGAAAGUGUGGGUAGCAAACAGGAUUAGAAACCCGGGUAGUCC
This 425-nucleotide ribosomal RNA is filed under the name uncultured bacterium. Its description in RNAcentral is "partial 16S ribosomal RNA". It matches the Rfam family "Bacterial small subunit ribosomal RNA", at positions 354 to 796 of the family's 1533-position model. The record is from RNAcentral.